Molecule: ribosomal RNA, 555 nt
Filed under: uncultured bacterium
Lineage: Bacteria
Description: partial 16S ribosomal RNA
Rfam family: Bacterial small subunit ribosomal RNA
Source: RNAcentral
UAGGGAAUCUUCGGCAAUGGACGAAAGUCUGACCGAGCAACGCCGCGUGAGUGAAGAAGGUUUUCGGAUCGUAAAACUCUGUUGUUAGAGAAGAACGUUGCAUAGAGUGGAAAAUUAUGCAAGUGACGGUAUCUAACCAGAAAGGGACGGCUAACUACGUGCCAGCAGCCGCGGUAAUACGUAGGUCCCGAGCGUUGUCCGGAUUUAUUGGGCGUAAAGCGAGCGCAGGUGGUUUAAUAAGUCUGAUGUAAAAAGGCAGUGGCUCAANCAUUGUGUGCAUUGGAAACUGUUAGACUUGAGUGCAGUAGAGGAGAGUGGAAUUCCAUGUGUAGCGGUGAAAUGCGUAGAUAUAUGGAGGAACACCGGUGGCGAAAGCGGCUCUCUGGACUGUCACUGACACUGAGGCUCGAAAGCGUGGGUAGCAAACAGGAUUAGAUACCCUGGUAGUCCACGCCGUAAACGAUGAGUGCUAGUUGUUUGGGGCUACCCAGCCCUAAGUGACGCAGCAAACGCAUUAAGCACUCCGCCUGGGGAGUACGACCGCAAGGUUGAAAC